Molecule: non-coding RNA, 123 nt
Organism: Fusarium torreyae
Lineage: Eukaryota; Fungi; Ascomycota; Sordariomycetes; Hypocreales; Nectriaceae
Source: the annotation of a GenBank genome assembly
AGCAGCUUGGCGCAGUGGAAGCGCGGUAUGUUUACACACGAAUCUUGAAAACAAAACUCGUACUAACAUACUCUAGCCGGGCUCAUAACCCGGAGGCCAUCGGAUCGAAACCGAUAGCUGCUA